UAUUGGGUUGGCGAAAAAGUUUCUUCAGGUUUUUCCAUCACAGUGUAUAGAAAAACCUGAACGAACUUUUUGGCCAACCCAAUAUA
RNAcentral lists this microRNA precursor (86 nucleotides) under Ovis aries (sheep). RNAcentral describes it as "miRNA (ENSOARG00000023692.1)". The record is from RNAcentral. Lineage: Eukaryota; Metazoa; Chordata; Mammalia; Artiodactyla; Bovidae.